RNAcentral lists this transfer RNA (71 nucleotides) under Candidatus Aenigmatarchaeota archaeon. RNAcentral's name for it is "tRNA-Gly". It matches the Rfam family "tRNA". From Rfam's summary of the family: Transfer RNA (tRNA) molecules are approximately 80 nucleotides in length. Their secondary structure includes four short double-helical elements and three loops (D, anti-codon, and T loops). The record is from RNAcentral. Lineage: Archaea; Nanobdellati; Candidatus Aenigmatarchaeota.
GCGCUUGUAGUCUAACGGUAGGACCACAGCCUUCCAAGCUGUUGAUCCGGGUUCAAAUCCCGGCGGGCGCA